UACGUAGGGCGCAAGCGUUGUCCGGAAUUAUUGGGCGUAAAGAGCUCGUAGGCGGUUUGUCGCGUCGGAUGUGAAAGCCCGGGGCUUAACCCCGGGUCUGCAUUCGAUACGGGCAGACUGGAGUGUGGUAGGGGAGAUCGGAAUUCCUGGUGUAGCGGUGAAAUGCGCAGAUAUCGGGAAGAACACCCGUGGCGAAGGCGGUUCUCUGGGACGGUACUGACGCUGAGACGCGAAAGCGUGGGGAGCGAACAGG
Molecule: ribosomal RNA, 253 nt
Filed under: uncultured bacterium
Lineage: Bacteria
Description: partial 16S ribosomal RNA
Rfam family: Bacterial small subunit ribosomal RNA
Source: RNAcentral